Molecule: ribosomal RNA, 497 nt
Filed under: uncultured bacterium
Lineage: Bacteria
Description: partial 16S ribosomal RNA
Rfam family: Bacterial small subunit ribosomal RNA
Source: RNAcentral
GAUGAACGCUGGCGGCGUGCCUAAUACAUGCAAGUCGAACGCACAGACGAGGAGCUUGCUCCUGUGACAUUAGCGGCGAACGGGUGAGUAACACGUGGAUAACCUACCUAUGAGACUGGGAUAACCUCGGGAAACCGGAGCUAAUACUGGAUAAUAUAUUGAACUGCAUGGUUCUAUGGUGAAAGGCGGUUUUUCUGUUACUUAUGGAUGAAUCCGCGCCGCAUUAGCUAGUUGGUAAGGUAAUGGCUUACCAAGGAGACGAAGCGUAUCCGACGGGGUGGGGGGAUCGCCCGCACGGGAGCGUGGACAGGGACCCGACGCCUGCGAGAGGCAGCAGUAGGGAAUCGUCCGCAGUGGGCGAGAGCCUGACGGAGCAGCGCCGCGUGAGAGGUGGAGGUCUUCGGUUCGGAAAACUCUGUUAUUGGGUGAGAACAAAUGUGUAAGUAACUAUGGACGGCUUGACGGUACCUAAUCAGAAAGCCACGGCUAACUACGUG